GACAGAGGAAGCAAGCGUUAUUCGGAAUUACUGGGCGUAAAGGGCGUGUAGGUGGUCUGAUAAGUCAGGUGUGAAAGCCCUUGGCUUAACCAAGGAAGUGCAUCUGAAACUAUCAGACUUGAGUACGGGAGGGGGAAGUGGAAUUCCUGGUGUAGAGGUGAAAUUCGUAGAUAUCAGGAGGAAUACCGGUGGCGAAGGCGACUUCCUGGACCGAUACUGACACUGAUACGCGAAAGCGUGGGGAGCAAACAGG
RNAcentral lists this ribosomal RNA (253 nucleotides) under uncultured bacterium. RNAcentral's name for it is "partial 16S ribosomal RNA". It matches the Rfam family "Bacterial small subunit ribosomal RNA", at positions 524 to 776 of the family's 1533-position model. The record is from RNAcentral.